This 464-nucleotide ribosomal RNA is filed under the name uncultured Klebsiella sp. Its description in RNAcentral is "bacterial SSU rRNA". It matches the Rfam family "Bacterial small subunit ribosomal RNA", at positions 338 to 795 of the family's 1533-position model. The record is from RNAcentral. Lineage: Bacteria; Pseudomonadati; Pseudomonadota; Gammaproteobacteria; Enterobacterales; Enterobacteriaceae.
CCUACGGGCGGCUGCAGUGGGGAAUAUUGCACAAUGGGCGCAAGCCUGAUGCAGCCAUGCCGCGUGUGUGAAGAAGGCCUUCGGGUUGUAAAGCACUUUCAGCGGGGAGGAAGGCGGUGAGGUUAAUAACCUCAUCGAUUGACGUUACCCGCAGAAGAAGCACCGGCUAACUCCGUGCCAGCAGCCGAGGUAAUACGGGGGGUGCAAGCGUUAAUCGGAAUUACUGGGCGUAAAGCGCACGCAGGCGGUCUGUCAAGUCGGAUGUGAAAUCCCCGGGCUCAACCUGGGAACUGCAUUCGAAACUGGCAGGCUAGAGUCUUGUAGAGGGGGGUAGAAUUCCAGGUGUAGCGGUGAAAUGCGUAGAGAUCUGGAGGAAUACCGGUGGCGAAGGCGGCCCCCUGGACAAAGACUGACGCUCAGGUGCGAAAGCGUGGGGAGCAAACAGGAUUAGAACCCCUGUAGUC